Molecule: long non-coding RNA, 7957 nt
Filed under: Salmo salar (Atlantic salmon)
Lineage: Eukaryota; Metazoa; Chordata; Actinopteri; Salmoniformes; Salmonidae
Description: lncRNA (ENSSSAG00000112844.1)
Source: RNAcentral
CUCCUGUGUUCCAAUGGCACGUUGUGUAGUUUAUCCAAGUUUAUAAUUUUAAAAGGCUAAUUGAUCAUUACAAAACCCUUUUGCAAUUAUGUUAGCACAGCUGAAAACUGUUGUUCUGAUUAAAGAGGCAAUAAAACUGGCCUUCUUUAGACUAGUUGAGUAUGUGGAGCAUCACGACCAGUGAUGGUGAUGGUACUAGAGCCUCCACAACCAGUGAAGGUUUCUCAGAGCUUCCGGUCAUAACUUGUAGACUUGUUUACGUGCUGCUGUGCGUUUGUUGCUAACCUUGCUUUGCUACCUGCCAACUUCACGGUUUUUACUUUUUAAUUACCUUUUAUAUUUUUUGUUUUACACUCACUCAACUUUUUUCAUUCAACUUUUUCACUCUGGAGGUUUUAUCUGGAAGUGGUUCGUCAGGCCCUCCACCAGCCGAAGCUAAGUAGUAACAUUAACAUGAUGCCUUCUAAUUGCAGUCGCUGUACUCAUAAUAUACAGGAGAACGAUCGCCUUACGGCGAGGAUAGCUGUGCUGCAAGCCCAGCUUCAGACGCAAUCGUUAGGCAAGGGUAAUUUAAGUGUAGGAAAGGAUGAAACAGUGUCUGUGCCACCAGUAAGUACAGAUAGUAGCAUAAAUCCCCUCGCACAGUCCCCGCAGCCGGACAACUUUCUCAUGGCUUCUGGAAGGAAAUGCUGUGACAAAUUGACAAAUUGAAAGCCCUAGUCAUUGGCGACUCCAUUACCCACAGUAUUAGACUUAAAACAAAUCAUCCUGCGAUCAUACACUGUUUACCAGGGGGCAGGGCUACCGACUUUAAGGCUAAUAUGAAGAUGGUGCUGGCUAAAGCUAAAACUGGCGAGUGUAGAAAGUAUAGGGAUAUUGUUAUCCACGUCGGCACCAAUGAUGUUAGGAUGAAACAGUCAGAGGUCACCAAGUGCAACAUAGCUUCAGCGUGUAAAUCAGCUAAAAAGAUGUGUCGGCAUCGAGUAAUUGUCUCUAGCCCCCUCCCAGUUAGGGGGAGUGAUGAGCUCUACAGCAGAGUCUCACAACUCAAUCGCUGGUUGAAAACUGUUUUCUGCCCCUCCCAAAAGACAGAAUUUCUAGAUAAUUGGCCCUCUUUCUGGGACUCACACACAAACAGGAUCAAGCCUGGCUUGUUGAGGAGUGACAGAUUCCGUCCUAGCUGGAGGAGUGCUCUCAUCUUAUCUAUGAACAUAGACCAUGCUCUAACUCCCCUAGCUCUACAAUGAGAUAGGGUGCAGGCCAGGCAGCAGGCUGUUAGCCAGCCUGCCGGCUUACUGGAGUCUGCCACUAGCAGAGUCAGUGUAGUCAGCUCAGCUAUCCCCAUUGAGACCGUGUCUGUGCCUCAACCUAUUUUGGGAAAAACUCAACAUGGCGGUGUUCGCCUUAGCAAUCUCACUAGAAUAAAGACCUCCUCCAUUCCUGCCAUUAUUGAAAGAGAUUGUGAUACCUCACAUCUCAAAAUAGGGCUACUUAAUGUUAGAUCCCUCACUUCUAAGGCAGUUAUAGAUAAUGAACUAAUCACUGAUCGUAAUCUUGAUGUGAUUGGCCUGACUGAAACAUGGCUUAAGCCUGAUGAAUUUACUGUGUUAAAUGAGGCCUCACCUCCUGGUUACACUAGUGACCAUAUCCCCCACGCAUCCCGCAAAGGCGGAGAUGCUGCUAACAUUUACGAUAGCAAAUUUCAAUUUACAUAAAACUCUGAUGUUUUCGUCUUUUGAGCUUCUAGUCAUGAAAUCUAUGCAGCCUACUCAAUCACUUCUUAUAGCUACUGUUCACAGGCCUCCUGGGCCAUAUACAGUGUUCAUCACUGAGUUCACUGAAUUCCUAUCGGACCUUGUAGUCAUGGCAGAUAAUAUUCAAAUUUUUGGUGACUUUAAUAUUCACAUGGAAAAGUCCGCAGACCCACUCCAAAAGGCUUUCGGAGCCAUAAUCGACUCAGUGGCUUUUGUGCAACAUGUCUCUGGACCCACUCACUGCCACAGUCAUUCUCUGGACCUAGUUUUGUCCCGUGGAAUAAAUGUUGUGGAUCUUAAUGUUUUUCCUCAUAAUCCUGGACUAUCGGAUCACCAUUUUAUUAUGUUUGCAAUCGCAACAAAUAAUCUGCUCAGACCCCAACCAAGGAUCAUCAAAAGUCGUGCUAUAAAUUCUCAGACAACCCAAAGAUUCCUAGAUGCCCUUCCAGACUCCCUCCGCCUACCUAAGGAAGUCAGAGUACAAAAUCAGUUAAUAACCUAACUGAGGAACUCAAUUUAACCUUGCGCAAUAGCCUAGAUGCAGUCGCACCCCUAAAAACAAAAAAUAUUUGUCAUAAAAAAUGAGCUCCCUGGUAUACAGAAAAUACACAAGCUCUGAAGCAAGCUUCCAGAAAAUUGGAACGGAUAUGGCGUUACACCAAACUGGAAGUCUUCCGACUAGCUUGGAAAGACAGUACCGUGCAGUAUCGAAGAGCCCCACUGCUGCUCGAUCAUCCUAUUUUUCCAACUUAAUUGAGGAAAAUAAGAACAAUCCAAAAUGUCUUUUUGAUACUGUCGCAAAGCUAACUAAAAAGCAGCAUUCCCCAAGAGAGGAUGGCGUUCACUUCAGCAGUGAUAAAUUCAUGAACUUCUUUGAGAAAAAGAUCAUGAUCAUUAGAAAGCAAAUUACGGACUCCUCUUUAAAUCUGCGUAUUCCUCCAAAGCUCAGUUGUCCUGAGUCUGCACAACUCUGCCAGGACCUAGGAUCAAGGGAGAGACUCAAGUUUUUUAAUACUAUAUCUCUUGACACAUUGACACAAGGUUCCGUUUUAGGACCACUAUUGUUUUCCCUAUAUAUUUUACCUCUUGGUGAUGUCAUUCGGUAACAUAAUGUUAACUUUCACUGCUAUGCGGAUGACACACAGCUGUACUGUCACAGGGGUUGUUGAGUGGAGACCAAGACGCAGCGUGUAUAGUGCUCAUUCUGUUUCUUUAAUGAAUACACUUAAACAACAAAACAACCAACAACAAACCCGUCACAUACUCUAGACUAAACGGAAACAACUACCCACAAACCCCAAAGGAAAACAGGCUGCCUAAGUAUGGCUUCCAAUCAGAGACAACGAUAGACAGCUGCCUCUGAUUGGAAACCAUACCUGGCCACAACAUAGAAAAUGACAACAUAGAAUGGAACUCUAGACAACCCACAUAGAAAACAGAAAACCCAAAACACAUAGACAAAACACCCCCCUGUCACGCCCUGACCAAUCUACUAAGGAAAAACCUCAUACCAGGGUCAGGACGUGACAGUACCCCCCCCCAAACCAAAAAACCCAACAACAACAACCCCAAACACAAAGGGAGGGCAGGGAGGGUGACAACAGUCUAUGGCGGCUCAUGUGCUCCACCCAGAACCUUCCUCUUCUCCCGAUCCUCCAGAAACAGAUGUGGCUCUGGCUCAGGGCGUAACCUCCAUUCCGCCCGCAGAUCCCUCCGCUUCUGUAACAUAGGCCUGUGGAUCAUUAUUGGAGGAAUCGGACUGUAGAUCCUUACCGGAAUCACUGUGCUGUAGACCCCUGCUGGAGGUUCCGACCUCCAAGCCGCCGCUGGAGGAUCUAGGCUGCAGGCCGCCGCUGAAGGCUCUGAACUGAGAAUUGUCGCUGGAGGCUCUGGACAGAACAGUGUCGCCGGAGGCUCCGGACUAGGAGGCGUCAUAAUCGGUUCCGGACUAAUGACCGUUGCUGCUGACUCCAUGCCAUGGAUCAUUUCUAUAGGUUCCGCGCCAAGGAUCAUCACUGGAGGCUUCUUACCUUGGAUUCUCACUACAGGUGCCGGGCCAUGGAUUAUUCCGACAGGCAUCGUGCCAUGGUUUAUCCUUACAAGCUCCAGACCAUUUAGAAUCCCUCCAGGCUUCUUGCCAAGGAUUCUUUCCUCAGGUUCCAGGCCAUGGAUUACCUCUUCAGGCUUCGUGCCAUGGAAUGUCCCUACAGGCUCUGGGCCAUGGAUCAUCACUAGAGGCUUAGUGCCAUGGAUCAUCCUUACAGGCGUCGGACCAUCGAUUAUCACUGGAGGCUUUUUACGUGGAGUAGGAAUCGAUCUCACCGGACUGGGGAGACGCAAUAAGGGCAGAGUGCUCACAGCAGGCACUGGCCAUACUGGGUUACGGGUGCGCACUGGAGGGAGAGUGCGCGGAGCAGGCACCGGACGUACUGGGCCAUGGAGGUUUACUGGAGGUCUGGCGCUUACGGCUAGCACAACCCUUCCUGGCUCAAUGCUGACUCUAGCCCGGCAAGGGCAGAGCGCUGGCACAGGACGAACUGGGCUGUGCUGGGGAAUGAGGGGUACCGUGCGUGGAGCAGGCGUAGGAUAUACUGGGCCAUGGAGGCUCACUGGAGGUCUGGCGCUUACGGCUAGCACAACCCGUCCUGUCUCGAUGCUGACUCUAGCCCGGCAAGGGCGGAGCGCUGGCACAGGACGAACUGGGCUGUGCUGGGGAAUGCGGGGUACCGUGCGUGGAGCAGGCGUAGGAUAUCCUGGGCCGAAGAGCCGCACUGGAGGCCAGAUACGUUGAGCCGGCGCACUUUUCCCUGGCUGCCGGCCAACUCUCGCACGGCAACGUUGAGGAGCUUGUAUUGACCGCACCGUACUGUGAGUGCGUAUGGGUGACAUAGUGCGGAUCACUCCAUACUGCAUUGCUCGCCCCUCUGCGCGCCUGCUCCGCCGUGCCCUUUCCGCCAGUACCUCUCUCCGGAAUCUAGCGUCAUGCUCCGCGCUUGACUCCCUGACUGGCUCUGGUUUACUCCAUGGCUCACUCCGAAAUGCCCGGGAAGUUAGAUCAGGGCUCCCCCUGACCUCGCCAAACUCCCCUUAUGCCCCCCCCAAACCUUUUUUUGGGGCUGCCUCUUCGCCUCCCCUAUUGGAGGAUACAGCGCCUCAUAAUACCGUCGCUCCCUCUUGGCUUCUUCCAAUUCCUCCUUCGGGCGACGAUACUCCCCAGCCUGGCUCCAGGGUCCCUUCCCAUCCAGGAUUUCUUCCCACGUCCACGACUCCACGUACCUCCUCUCACGCUGCUUGGUCCUUUUACGGUGGGUAGUUCUGUCACAGGGGUCGUUGAAUGGAGACCAAGACGCAGCGUGUAUAUCGCUCAUUCUGUUUCUUUAAUGAAUACACUUAAACAACAAAAUACCAAAACGACCAACAACAGUCCCGUCAGGUACUCUAGACUAAACGGAAACAACUACCCACAAACCCCAAAGGAAAACAAGCUGUCUAAGUAUGGCUUCCAAUCAGAGACAAUGAUAGACAGCUGCCUCUGAUUGGAAACCAUACCUGGCCACAACAUAGAAAAUGACAACAUAGAAUGAAACUCUAGACAACCCACAUAGAAAAAAAAAAACCCAAAACACAUAGACAAAACACCCCCCUGUCACGCCCUGACCAAUCUACUAGGGAAAAAUGACCUCAUACCAGGGUCAGGAUGUGUUAUGUACAUUUCAAUGAAACAUGGUGAAGCCCCAAAAUUGCCCUCCACCUGUGUUUCAGACAUAAGGAAGUGGAUGGCUGCAAAUGUUCUACUUUUAAUCUCGGACAAAACAGACAAUGAUUGUUCUAGUUCCCAAGAAACAAAGAGAUCUUCUUUGGAAUCUGACAAUUAACCCUGAUGGUUGUACAGUCAUCUCAAAUAAAACUGUGAGGGGCCUCUGCGUUACUCUGGACCCUGAUCUCUCUUUUGACGAACAUAUCAAGACUGUUUCAAGGACAGCUUUUUUCCAUCUACGUAACAUUGCAAAAAUCAGAAACUUUCUGUCCAAAAAUUAUGCAGAAAAAUUACUUCUAGGUUGGACUACUGCAAUGCUUUACUUUCCGGCUACUUGGAUAAAGCACUAAAUAAACUUCAGUUAGUGCUAAACACAGCUGCUAGAAUCUUGACUAGAACCAAAAAAUGUGAUCAUAUUACUCCAGUGUUAGCCUCUCUACACUGACUUCCUGUGAAGGCAAGGGCUGAUUUCAAGGUUUUACUGCUAACCUACAAAGCAUUACAUGGGCUUGCUCCUACCUAUCUUUCCGAUUUGGUCCUGCCGUACAUACCUACACGUACGCUACGGUCACAAGACGCAGGCCUCCUUACUGUCCCUAGAAUUUCUAAGCAAACAGCUGGAGUCAGGGCUUUUUAAUAUAGAGCUCCAUUUUUAUGGAAUGGUCUGCCUACCCACGUGAGAGACGCAGACUCGGUCUCAGCCUUUAAGUCUUUAUUGAAGACUCAUCUCUUCAGUAGGUCCUAUGAUUGAGUGUAGUCUGGUCCAGGAGUGUGAAGGUGAACGGACAGGCACUGGAGCAACAAACCGCCCUUGCUGUCUCUGCCUGGCCAGUUCCCAUCUCUCCACUGGGAUUCUCUGCCUCUAACCCUUUUACAGGGGCUGAGUCACUGGCUUACUGGUGCUCUUCCAUGCCAUCCCUAGGAGGGGUGCGUCACUUGAGUGGGUUGAGUCACUGACGUGAUCUUCCUGUCCAGGUUGGCGCCCCCCCUGGGUUGUGCCGUGGCGGAGAUCUUUGUGGGCUAUACUCUGCCUUGUCUCAGGAUGGUAAGUUGGUGUUUGAAGAUAUCCCUCUAGUGGUGUGGGAGAUGUGCUUUGGCAAAAUGGGUGGGGAUAUAUCCUGCCUGUUUGGCCACGUCGGACAUGGCCAUAGUGUUUCCCGACCCCUCCUGUCUCAGCCUCCAGUAUUUAUGCCGCGGUAGUUUAUGUGUCGGGGGGCUUUGGUCAGUCUGUUAUAUCUGGAGUAUUUCUCCUGUCUUAUCCAGUGUCCUGUGUGAAUUUAAGUAUGCUCUCUCUAAUUCUCUCUCUCCCUUUUUCUCUCUUUCUUUCUGUCUUUCGCUCUUUCUUUUUCUCUCGGAGGACCUGAGCCCUAGGACCAUGCCUCAGGACUACCUGACCUGAUGGCUCCUUGCUGUUCCCAGUCCACCUGGCCGUGCUGCUGCUCCAGUUCCAACUGUUCUUUCUGCGGCUAUGGAACCCUGACCUGUUCACCGGACAUGCUACCUGUUCACCGGACAUGCUACCUGUCCCAGACCUUCUGUUUUCAACUCCCUAGAGACAGCAGGAGUGGUAGAGAUACUCUGAAUGACCGGCUAUGAAAAGCCAACUGACAUUUACUCCUGAGGUGCUGACCUUUUGCACCCUCGACAACCACUGUGAUUAUUAUUAUUUGACCCUGCUGGUCAUCUAUGAACAUUUGAACAUCUUGGCCAUGUUCUGUUAUAAUCUCCACCCGGCACAGCCAGAAGAGGACUGGCCACCCCUCAUAGUCUGGUUCCUCUCUAGGUUUCUUCCUAGGUUUUGGCCUUUCUAGGGAGUUUUUCCUAGCCACUGUGCUUCUACACCUGCAUUGCUUGCUGUUUGGGGUUUUAGGCUGGGUUUCUGUACAGCACUUUGAGAUAUCAGCUGAUGUAAGAAGGGCUAUAUAAAUACAUUUGAUUUGAUUUGAAGUACUGAACGGAAGUCCCAUAAGGUCUAGUAGUGACCCGGAAGGGAGAUAAAUGUGUGUGUGUGUGUGUGUGUGAUUAGUGGGCCUAAGGGAACUGUAGACAUGUGUGUGUGUGACCCGACCUGAAGAGGCUUGGAAGCAACAGCGAGUAACCUUCAAGGUCCCCCUAAUCUCGGGGGAAAGGAACAGGCAGCACAGGAUAGGGAUUAACAGCGGUGGGAAGUCACCUACUGUUCGUGUGUAUGGGUGUGCGUAGGAUAUCUACUGUUUGUGUGGAGGUAUGUGCGUAAGCAGGGAGGGAGCAUAAAAUGAACUUCUUUGUGUAAUUGUACUUCAGAACGUUCACUGAAUAAACUGUACAGACCUUUUGCAGAAAGCUGAGUCCUUGCCUAAUUAUUCUUUACCCAGUGUCUUACAAACCUUGGGAAUUAGUCAAGGCUUAUUGAUUGUUAAUUAUUAUCAUUGGGAUAGGAAAAUUCCCAUGACAGCUUGGUCCUUCG